UUUUUUUUUUUCAAAAGUCUAUUUUUCACUUUAAUUUUGGUUUUCAGAAAUUAUUGUUUUUUAAUAUUUAGUUUCCAUUUAAGUUUUAAGUUACAUUUUAAGUUUAGUUAUAAUAACCAUGGUAUGACGGUUAUAAGUUUCCUUUUUUUAAUCUUUAUUAAAUAUGCAAAAGAUAUUUUAUAAAGAAAUCGGUGAAUCAUGACACUAAACAAGAGGCAGCAAUGAAUAUCUGAGGCAGCUGUGGAGGUGGAGCCUGGUUAACGGUUAAAUGUGAAGGUCAGUGGUUCAGCCUCUGGCUCCAUUUUGAAAUUUCUUUGGGCGACAGACUGAACUUUGAAUUGUCCCUAAUGCACCUGUUUAAAUGUUAGGUUAAAAGUGCUUACGUAUGUGAAGAAGAAAAAAUGUGUGAAUGAGGCUACAGGAACCAGCUGGUCAGCACAGACGCCUGCAACGAAAACAUGGUGAGCUAUGGAGUCAGGAACAGCAUCGCUGCCUACCUGUCCUUUGCUGGCGAUCAAGACCCUUCACAGGUGAAAUCAGAUAGCAGGAAGAAGAAAAGCAAAUCGCUGUAUGUGCUUCCUGAAAAUGGCCUUCCGAACACUGACUAUGACGAGGACUUCUAGAUGCAACAGUGAAGCUAAAAAGACCGGACUAUUUUUAAGUGGAGGCCAGUAGACAACUUCCUCUGAAAUCUACUAACGAUUCCUUCAGAGCCAGCAGAGAACAGUACUGAGCCGAAACUAUUACCCCAAAACAUCGAGGCGUUUCAUUGUUUCUACUUUGAGCACUUUGAAGUACUUUUAACAAUAACGCAAAUCGCAUGACCAAUUACACUUGUGAAGUAGUUGAACUGGAUGACGGUGCAAUUUAGAUGUGAAUACCCGAACGCAGGGCGGAAAAACAAAGCUUGGCAUUAUGGUGUGAUGAGUGAUGUGGGAUAGAUUCUAAUUAUAUGCAUAUGACUUUUUGUGGCUUUCAAACUAUUUUAAGUUUUAUUACUAUGGUAAAAUGGUCAUAUUGAGACACAGGCAAACUCAGAUCAUUUGAAUUUGGGGGCUAAAUUGAUGCAUUGAAGAUGAAGAUCAUAUAAUGAGUGUGUCUCAACCAGUGAUUUAUUCACACACAAAUAUAGGGGGGAUUGAGCGAAAUGUGGCUUCCUCUUAUAGUUGCCAUCCUACGAUUUGUCAUUCAAUAUUAAUUCUCACUAUGAGAUUCACUACACAAGCCAGUGUCGCAGUUAUCAACAACCAACCUCUAAUUAAUGGCUUUCAUUGUGGUGUGACCCACCGAUCAAGAGAGUGAGACCAUGUGUAUAGACAGAGGUUGUAAAAAAUAUAAUCCGCUUUAGUAAUUUGAGUGAACUGGCCCUUUAAAUAUCCCCAGAGGGUGGAAAAUAAUCACUUCUGUGAAGCACGAUAAGGCUCCAAAUGGUUUAUCAAUAAUAUAUGCUGUGUGGGUUGUUCACAAAAUAGUUUUUUUUCUUCUUCUUGUAAUUUUCUUUUAGUUUAUUAAUGUUUCCUAAACACUGAAAUGUAUGUUCCUGUGUAAUAAUUUAUCUAACUUGAGCAACUCAGGUUACAAAUAUCGUUACCGGGCUUGGUAACAAUAUUUUAGUGUUACUAGUGCAACAGGAUCGUGUGAAUACUGUAUAUAAUUAAUAUGUACCAGUUAUCAUGUUUCAUGUAUCAAUCAAUUACAGGUAUGGCUGUUAUGGUAAUAGUCUGAUGCUUUUUUGCCUUAUGUUUUAUUUAAUGUUUCAUGGGAAUAAAGACCAGUCAACUGCAAUACUAACCAUUAGAGAGGUCACAGUAUUUCUGGUAAACAUCGGUGUACUGCAUGUUUAAAUUUAAGCAGAAAAACACGCACAUGACCUAAAAGUAAGACAAAAAUAUCCCACCAGCUGUGAAGGUGUGUGAAGCUCAGGACUCAACCCGAGGACGACUGCUGCGUAUAAAAACCCCAAAAACAACAACAUCAAAAAAGCAUAUUGUGAUUCAAGGUUAGGUUUACUGUUAACGUAACAGUUCACUGAACCAAAUUAGCGAAUAGUCAUCAAUUAGUUUCAUUACCAAUCUCUUAUCAUCAUGCUUGUCUGUGCACCAUUUGCAACUCAUGCAUAUAUUUUGCACUUUCUGCACCAGUGCUGAAAAAUGGAGAGAAAAAAGAUAUAAAAAAAAAAAAAAGACUGCCCCUUUUGAGAAAAUGAGCUGUUAACCAAAUAGAAAGGGAUUUGGGCUUCCCCCUAUUUAGCAUGAGAUUUCUUUAGGCAAAUGUGAGCCCAUGAGAACAAAAGUCAAAGCAUCCUGUUUUUCAUUCACCCUCUCAGAUUUAAUACUGUACCCACUGUUCAUCUGAUGUGGCGGCAUGAUGGGAAAUUUCUGAGAACUUCUGAAUUCUGAUUUCUUCACAAACACACAGUCGGCCUAUUGACAUUUGCUCAACUUCCGCUAUUCUGCAA
Molecule: long non-coding RNA, 2458 nt
Organism: Astatotilapia calliptera (eastern happy)
Lineage: Eukaryota; Metazoa; Chordata; Actinopteri; Cichliformes; Cichlidae
Source: Ensembl